AUGUGGUUGAUUGCUUGUAGUUGUACAGUGUCUUUGCAGAAUUUGUUAUUGUAUGGGGAUGAGGAGAUUACUGUCGGAUCGUUGGCGCUAACCAUUAAUCCCAAAAGCUCGAGCUGUUAGAAAUACGCAACCAAUUCACUUAAAGCGUACAGAAACAGCGCCCACGAGUCUCGAUUGUGACUCGGCCCACCUGGCCUCACGCCACUUCGAAUAUGACUCGGCCCAACCCAGCCUCACGCCAUUUCGAACAUGACUCGGCCCUCAUGGCCCUCCGCCACAGGGCAGGA
Molecule: long non-coding RNA, 287 nt
Filed under: Ananas comosus (pineapple)
Lineage: Eukaryota; Viridiplantae; Streptophyta; Magnoliopsida; Poales; Bromeliaceae
Description: long non-coding RNA (ACOM_LNC036159)
Source: RNAcentral